Molecule: ribosomal RNA, 253 nt
Filed under: uncultured bacterium
Lineage: Bacteria
Description: partial 16S ribosomal RNA
Rfam family: Bacterial small subunit ribosomal RNA
Source: RNAcentral
UACGUAGGGGGCUAGCGUUAUCCGGAAUUACUGGGCGUAAAGGGUGCGCAGGCGGCCGUGUGUGUGAGGCGUGAAAGCCCGGGGCUCAACCCCGGAAUUGCACCUCAAACUACAUGGCUAGAGCAUUGGAGAGGGAAGCGGAAUUCACGGUGUAGCAGUGAAAUGCGUAGAUAUCGUGAGGAACACCAGAGGCGAAGGCGGCUUCCUGGACAAUUGCUGACGCUCAGGCACGAAAGCGUGGGGAGCAAAAGGG